This 744-nucleotide ribosomal RNA is filed under the name Triticum aestivum (bread wheat). RNAcentral's name for it is "partial small subunit ribosomal RNA". Lineage: Eukaryota; Viridiplantae; Streptophyta; Magnoliopsida; Poales; Poaceae. The record is from RNAcentral.
AUGGACGCCUUCUACUCGACCUCGUCGGCGGCGGCGAGCGGAUGGGGCUACGACUCGCUCAAGAACUUCCGCGAGAUCUCCCCCGCCGCGCAGUCCCACCUCAAGCUCGUUUACCUGACCCUAUGCUUUGCCCUGGCCUCAUCUGCCGUGGGUGCUUACCUGCACAUUGCCCUGAACAUCGGUGGGAUGCUGACAAUGCUUGCGUGUAUCGGAACCAUUGCCUGGAUGUUCUCUGUGCCAGUCUAUGAGGAGAGGAAGAGGUUUGGGCUGCUGAUGGGUGCAGCCCUCCUGGAAGGGGCUUCGGUUGGACCUCUGAUUGAGCUUGCCAUAGACUUUGACCCAAGCAUCCUCGUGACAGGGUUUGUUGGAACCGCCAUCGCCUUUGGGUGCUUCUCUGGCGCCGCCAUCAUCGCCAAGCGCAGGGAGUACCUGUACCUCGGUGGCCUGCUCUCCUCCGGCCUGUCGAUCCUGCUCUGGCUGCAGUUUGCCACGUCCAUCUUUGGCCACUCCUCUGGCAGCUUCAUGUUUGAGGUUUACUUUGGCCUGUUGAUCUUUCUGGGAUACAUGGUGUACGACACGCAGGAGAUCAUCGAGAGGGCGCACCACGGCGACAUGGACUACAUCAAGCACGCGCUCACCCUCUUCACCGACUUUGUCGCCGUCCUCGUCCGGAUCCUCAUCAUCAUGCUCAAGAACGCAGGCGACAAGUCGGAGGACAAGAAGAAGAGGAAGAGGAGGUCCUGA